UACGAAGGGGGCUAGCGUUGCUCGGAAUUACUGGGCGUAAAGCGCGCGCAGGUGGCUUGUUAAGUUGGGGGUGAAAGCCCGGAGCUCAACUCCGGAAUUGCCUUCAAAACUGGCAAGCUAGAGUACGGCAGAGGAGAGUGGAGUUCCCAGUGUAGAGGUGAAAUUCGUAGAUAUUGGGAAGAAUACCAGUGGCGAAGGCGGCUCUCUGGUCCGUUACUGACACUGAGGCGCGAAAGCGUGGGGAGCAAACAGG
Molecule: ribosomal RNA, 253 nt
Filed under: uncultured bacterium
Lineage: Bacteria
Description: partial 16S ribosomal RNA
Rfam family: Bacterial small subunit ribosomal RNA
Source: RNAcentral